CGGAGCCGCGGCGCCCAGGGCCGAGGGGCGGGUCCGAGGCCGCGGCCUUGCCUCCGCCGCGCCCGCCACUCCGCGGCCUCCGGGAGACACGCCGCCAUGCUGCAGAAGAGGGAGAAGGUGCUGCUGCUGAGGACAUUCCAGGGCCGCACGCUGCGGAUCGUGCGCGAGCACUACCUGCGGCCCUGCGUGCCCUGCCACAGCCCGCUCUGCCCGCAGCCCGCCGCCUGCAGCCACGAUGGGAAACUCUUGUCUAGUGAUGUGACUCAUUACGUGAUCCCAGACUGGAAAGUUGUUCAAGAUUAUCUUGAGAUCCUUGAGUUUCCUGAGUUGAAGGGAAUUAUUUUCAUGCAGACAGCUUGUCAAGCUGUGCAGCAUCAAAGAGGCCGGAGACAGUAUAACAAACUGCGAAACCUGCUGAAGGAUGCGCGUCAUGAUUGCAUUCUCUUUGCUAAUGAAUUCCAGCAAUGCUGCUAUCUGCCACGGGAAAGAGGAGAGUCCAUGGAGAAGUGGCAGACCAGGAGCAUAUACAACGCAGCUGUUUGGUACUAUCAUCACUGCCAGGACAGGAUGCCAAUUGUUAUGGUGACGGAAGAUGAAGAGGCAAUUCAGCAGUAUGGAAGUGAAACAGAAGGAGUAUUCGUGAUUACUUUCAAGAAUUACCUGGACAAUUUCUGGCCUGAUUUAAAAGCUGCCCACGAGCUUUGUGAUUCUAUCCUUCAGUCUCGACGGGAGAGAGAGAAUGAGAGUCAGGAGAGCCAUGGGAAGGAGUACCCAGAACAUCUUCCCCUGGAAGUGUUAGAAGCUGGGAUUAAAUCUGGACGCUAUAUCCAGGGAAUUCUGAAUGUCAACAAACACAGAGCCCAAAUAGAAGCUUUUGUUCGACUUCAAGGAGCCAGCAGUAAAGAUUCAGAUUUAGUCAGUGACAUCCUAAUCCACGGGAUGAAGGCUCGAAACCGCUCAAUUCAUGGAGAUGUGGUAGUUGUGGAGCUGCUUCCUAAAAAUGAAUGGAAAGGAAGAACCGUAGCCCUGUGUGAGAAUGACUGUGAUGACAAGGCUUCGGGCGAGUCCCCAAGUGAGCCCAUGCCUACAGGUCGAGUGGUGGGCAUACUUCAGAAGAACUGGCGGGAUUACGUGGUGACAUUUCCGUCCAAAGAAGAGGUCCAAUCUCAGGGCAAAAAUGCUCAGAAAAUCCUGGUUACACCUUGGGAUUACAGAAUUCCCAAAAUUCGAAUUAGCACUCAGCAAGCAGAAACCCUCCAGGAAGAAUCGGAGACCUGGAAGGGGAAAUUGCAACCAUCCUGGUGGAAAACAGUAUUUCAGUUAUUCCUUUCUCAGAAGCUCAGAUGUGUGAGAUGCCAGUAAACACACCAGAAAGUCCCUGGAAGGUGAGUCCUGAAGAGGAACAAAAACGUAAAGACUUGAGGAAAAGCCAUCUCGUAUUCAGCAUUGACCCCAAAGGUUGUGAAGAUGUGGAUGACACACUCUCAGUCAGAACCUUAAAUAAUGGCAACCUGGAACUUGGGGUCCACAUCGCAGAUGUAACACACUUUGUGGCACCAAAUUCUUACAUUGAUAUUGAAGCUAGAACAAGGGCCACCACUUAUUAUCUAGCAGAUCGUCGCUAUGACAUGCUGCCUUCCGUCCUCAGUGCGGAUUUGUGUUCCCUUCUGGGAGGCGUUGAUAGGUAUGCUGUAAGCAUCAUGUGGGAACUGGAUAAAGCCUCUUAUGAAAUUAAGAAAGUGUGGUAUGGCAGAACCAUUAUUCGAUCAGCAUACAAACUGUUCUAUGAAGCAGCCCAAGAACUACUGGAUGGAAACUUAAGCGUUGUUGAUGAUAUUCCAGAAUUCAAAGACUUGGAUGAGAAGAGCAGACAAGCCAAGCUGGAGGAGUUGGUGUGGGCAAUUGGAAAGCUGACCGACAUAGCUCGCCAUGUCAGAGCUAAACGAGACGGAUGUGGUGCCCUGGAACUGGAAGGGGCAGAGGUUCGCGUACAGCUAGAUGACAAAAAGAACAUUCACGACCUCAUCCCCAAGCAGCCCCUGGAAGUCCACGAGACAGUGGCUGAAUGCAUGAUCCUGGCCAACCACUGGGUCGCCAAAAAGAUCUGGGAGAGCUUCCCUCAUCAGGCCUUGCUGCGCCAGCACCCUCCUCCACACCAGGAGUUCUUUUCAGAACUCCGGGAAUGUGCUAAAGCCAAAGGCUUCUUCAUAGAUACACGGUAUUCCUCUUUUGAGGGGGCAGAGGAAUGGAGUGGCAUGCUGUAUAUUUAGUUAUCUUACAGUUGUUCUUAAAAUGUGACAGCCAG
Molecule: small RNA, 2305 nt
Filed under: Pan troglodytes (chimpanzee)
Lineage: Eukaryota; Metazoa; Chordata; Mammalia; Primates; Hominidae
Description: retained intron
Source: RNAcentral